UCGAGAAUCUUCGGCAAUGGGCGAAAGCCUGACCGAGCGACGCCGCGUGGAGGAUGAAGGCCUUCGGGUUGUAAACUCCUGUCGAGGGGGAACAAGAGGCCGUGAAGAGCGGUCUUCGAGUGAUCCCUGGAGGAAGCACGGGCUAAGUUCGUGCCAGCAGCCGCGGUAAGACGAACCGUGCUAACGUUAUUCGGAAUCACUGGGCUUAAAGCGCGUGUAGGCGGUCCGGCACGUUCGACGCUGAAAUCCCCCGGCUCAACCGGGGAACGGGCGCGGAUACGACCGGGCUGGAGGGAGGUAGGGGGAGCUGGAACUUCCGGUGGAGCGGUGAAAUGCGUUGAGAUCGGAAGGAACGCCCGUGGCGAAAGCGGGCUCCUGGACCUUGCCUGACGCUGAGACGCGAAAGCCAGGGGAGCGAACG
This 421-nucleotide ribosomal RNA is filed under the name uncultured Planctomycetaceae bacterium. RNAcentral describes it as "partial 16S ribosomal RNA". It matches the Rfam family "Bacterial small subunit ribosomal RNA", at positions 355 to 774 of the family's 1533-position model. The record is from RNAcentral. Lineage: Bacteria; Pseudomonadati; Planctomycetota; Planctomycetia; Planctomycetales; Planctomycetaceae.